Cyprinus carpio (common carp) is the source of this 797-nucleotide long non-coding RNA. The record is from Ensembl. NCBI's taxonomy places the organism in Eukaryota, Metazoa, Chordata, Actinopteri, Cypriniformes, Cyprinidae.
GCGCAUAGAAGAAGAGUGGAAUAAAUCUAGAAGGAAACGGGUUAAGAAGGAAACGGGGCGGAGGAAGGAGUUUGGCGUGCUGGCCUGAGACCCUGAAGUAAACUUUACUGGGUGCUUCUGCAGCACAACGUGUGCAACAGAUGUCAGACACCCAGAACAUGGCCGUCUCACCGCAUGCCUGUACAUAUACGCCUGUACGCCUCAAAGGAGACUCUGACUCACUCAUGAGGUCACUGCCCAUUGCCACCGGUCCAGCGGUGUGGUCUGCUUGGCCCUGCGGUCAUGUACGGUACACGAAAGACCUGGGACGUCGGCCACACCCCCUGCCUGCAGGAGCUCUGGAACAAAGACCUCUCAUUGGAUGUUUCAGCGAGUUCCCUGGAUAUCCUAAUGAGUGAUGGUGAGGAGGAGAGCUCCUUCCUCUCGUUGCCCAACUCUGUCCUUCAGCGCCACUGUUUGACCUCUGACCUCUCUGAAACCGCCACCUCAGAACAGCAGCAGCUGCUCAUACAGGUGUGACCCUAUAAUACUACUCUAGUAUUAACCUGGGCAAUUAAUAUUACAAUUAUUAAGGGAAGCAUCACUGUUACAACUGCUUAUAACUGGGUUUAGGGAUUUACUGCAACACAUUAUUUUCAGAUUAUGUAUAGUAAAAUAUUUACAAGGUUUUUUUUUUUUAUACUUUUAUUUAGCAAGUAUGCAUUAAUAUGAUCAAAAGUGAAAGUAAAGACCUAUAUAAUGUUAAAAUAUUUUUUAUUCCAAAUAAAUGCCUUUUUUUUUCUUUUUUUACUUUCUAU